CUCCUGCCUCAAUUUGGGCUCUUCCUGCCAGGAUUUCUAUACCCAUGCCUGCCCUUCCCUGCAGUGCUUUCUCCCUCCCUUCACUACCCUUAUUUCGCUCUCUCAAUCUCCAUAUCUGUUUCUGGGUUUCCCCUUCUUCUCUCCCUGCUUUUCCCCUCCCUGUCCAUCCCUCACCGGCCCCAGAAUGGGUGUCCCUCCCCUCCUCCCUCCCUGGCUGUAUCUGCCUCUUUCUUAGCUCUCAACCCUGCACCUCUUUCUUUGUAUUCUGCUCACCCUCUCUCGGCCUCUCGAGCAUCUCUCCUCCCCCGCCGGCCUCCGGCCUCCCCCUGCCUCCCCAUUUCCAGCUCAGUCUCCUCCCUCUAGCUCCUCUCCCCUCCUUUCGCCUCACCCGACUGCCCGCCCGGCAAGCCAGGGUUUCUUUCUACCCUGGGGGGUCUCCAUACCUCUCGAUCCUCCUCCCCACCAGUCUCCUCUCCGGCUGCAGGGUUAGUGGGUACCCAUUCUUUUCUUCCUGGGCACACCCUCCCUCCCCUCGCCCCCAUCCCCAACGUGGCCCCUGACUCCUCUUCAUCCGUCUCCUCUUCUCCCCACCCUCUCUUCUCUUUUCUCUCUGCCCCUUUAAAUCUCCCUGGCCCAGCCUCCCCCGUGAUGCUGGGAUGGAGCAAACAUUGAGUUGUGCUGGGAUGGAAUCGGAAUUUUGAUUUCUUUUUUCUUCUCCCAACCCUAAGAAGAAAAAAAUAAUAAAAACACCCCCCUCUUGAUAGCCCCCUCCCCCUUCUCAUCCAGCUCCCAGCUUCUCUUCCCUAUCUCCACCCAAGGCAGAUUUUUUCCCCUACACUGUUCUCUUCUCCCCCCACCCCCGGCACCAAUUCACCCCCAGCUGGGGAGAGAGGGGACUCUCCCACAGCUCCCCCGCCUUGUCUUCCCUCUCUGGGUUGGAGCGGUCUCUCCGGAAGAGGAGGGGGCUCGGCUCGCCUGGGUGGGAGUGGAGGUAUCCUGCCAUGGACGCUGUGCCUGGGAGGCACCCUGCGCCUCAGCCCACAUGGUGAGUACCUGCCCCCUCCUUUCCGCCCGUCUGCC
This 1080-nucleotide long non-coding RNA is filed under the name Heterocephalus glaber (naked mole-rat). RNAcentral describes it as "lncRNA (ENSHGLG00100049820.1)". The record is from RNAcentral. Lineage: Eukaryota; Metazoa; Chordata; Mammalia; Rodentia; Bathyergidae.